AAGAGCAAGAGAGGUAGAGAGAGAGAAAAAGGAAAACAUUAAGGGUUAUUCCUACCCCUUGUGAUAUUCAAAAUAACCACAGGAAAUAACACCUUGAUAAAGAACAGUCACUCUUAAUCACGACGCAAUCCGAAGCAGCUGUGAUAACCAGAUCGCUCCAUGAACCACCCUUUGUGAAGAGAGUGAGAAACAAGAAAGAAAAAAAAGAAAGAAAACCGGCGAGACAUAUAACUUUUAACAAGAGUCUGGUAACCCUGCCACGGCGAGCCCCUAUGGCAAGAGGUCGAGGUAGGAGAAUGAUUCAGUGAGGGAAGGAAAGGCUGGCUUAUCCUCCUCCUCCUCCUCCUUCUCCUGCGCCUCUCGGAGCAACGAAAUCGUGGAGCUUUAAGGAGAGAGAAAAAAAAAAUCGUGUUGUUCCCGCGUAACCACCACGGAGAAAAAGGUGUAUAAUUACUUUGUUUUAAUGUGGUGAAGUCUCUAGGCAUAUUUCGUGAGUGUUUGGCUCUCCACGUGGUUGAUGGAAAGUGAUAAGUGAAUUAGAAAAAAGGGUAAUUAUAAACAAUAAGUGACGUAGCUGACGUAUAGAAAAAAGAGAAAAUCAGAAAUCACGAGGAAGCGAUACAACGCAAGCAUUAUCGCAAACAACGGAAAGGUGAGUAAAACCGACAUGAUUCCAGCUGAUUCUCAUGAGUUCAGUGAGUAAGGUGAGUGAGCAGUGAGUAUCGACAGUGAGUAUCGACCUUUAGGUGGAUUGAAUCACGUGGCUAAUAAGCGCAGGUAUGGAUACGUGUAGAAAAGAUUAUAAUAUGGAUGUAAACUCUUUACAAAACGGUAAAGGAGAUGACUUGAAAUUAUUACAGGGUUAAUGCAAAUGCAGAUAUUGAUAUGUGCAGGCCUAUGAUAUAUAAAAUUAAUGCGAAAUCAUAUAUAACGGUAACGGAAAAGCUUAAUUGAAUUUAUUACAUGGCUAACACAGACGCAGAUAGAAAUAAAUGCAAACAUCAUUGUCAAUAAUAAGGAAAAUACUAAACAAAAAUACAAAUACGUGUAUAAAAAAAAAUAUGUUAACUAAUUCCUUCACAAAAAAAAAAAAAAAAAAAAAAUUCUUGUAGAAUAUAAUUUAUACGACCGUUUUGUUGAAUAUUUUAGCAAGGUCGUUAAGUUGGGCAGUACAGAUUUUUUUUUUUUUUUUGUCCGUUUUCCUCUCUGUUAAAUGUCGUUUCACAAGUUUGGAAUAAUAAUAGGAUACAGAAGAAGAAAGGGGAGAAGGAAGAAGAAGAAAAGGAGGG
Penaeus chinensis is the source of this 1289-nucleotide long non-coding RNA. RefSeq lists it as uncharacterized. The record is from RefSeq and is a predicted model, not a curated record. The transcript has 3 exons. Lineage: Eukaryota; Metazoa; Arthropoda; Malacostraca; Decapoda; Penaeidae.